UAAUAAUCAUGUAAUAAUCAUGAAAUCUAAUUUCCUUUAGUAUUUAUUUAAAUGAAUGUCCUGUUGAGGUCAGCUUUUUCCAUCCUGUUUGUGAAAUUUGCUGCUGAGGCUCAAGUACAGUGGAAGGGAGACAGGUGAUGAAUAAGAAGUCCUCCCAGUUGUUAGUGUCUCUGCCAUGGCAUACAAAAUUAACUGAUGACUGAAAAGAUACAGACAAAGAGAAAACAAUGUGAAACUGAGAAAGCGAACAAGGAAUAACCUUCACCUUGAUUUGCAGGAGGUAGAACUGCAAAACUGUGUGACAAGUUGCAGAAAACCAAGCAGAGCCCACUUGCGAACUACUGCUUCCUAACUCAUAAAGCUGAAGAUAUUUUAAAUCAACACUAUACACUGUAUUUUUAGCAGGACAAUUUUGCUUUAUAUUUAUUUUAUUUAUUUAUUGAGCAUCAUGAUCAAGAAAUCUCUAGGAUUUUUACACUUUUAUUGAAAAUAUUCUCCAUAUAUUACACCGUUGCUUGAAUUUAAAGAUACAACAAAUAAUUCUUCCUACUGAUUUUUAAAAUUGAGCUAUUUGUGGAUGUCUCUCGUGACUCAAAUUUCACAGCUGCCUUCUGCUUUAAUUUUCUUCCUAUUUCUCUGAUCAAAAAUAUAAUUACAAAAAGAGCUCUGUCAGAAUACUCAAGAGGCUUUAAAUGCAAAAUUUCACUUCUUAAUGGAAGUUAUUUAACAUUUUCUACUUCAUGCAGAAAUUAAACUAUGAGGGCUGCUCUGAAAAUAGGGCCUUCUAUUUUAUUAUGGUAGCCCAUAACAUCAGAGGCAGAUGUUGGUGGUAUGGCAGUAGAGGCUGAGCCUUCAUCUCAGUUCCAUUAUAUUUUGUUGCCAUGUGAGAGAUGGCAGCAGGGGAGCAAUCUGACGAUGAAGUGCAUAUGAAGCAAAGGUGUGUCACUGAGUUUCACUAAGAGCAAAAAGAAAAAUUGCACACGUUGAUAUUCAUCAAUACUUGCUGAACUUUUAUGGAGAUCAAAUAGGUGAACAUGGACAACUAAUUGUGGCAACUACAUUAUAAAACAGCAUUUUGUAGCUGAGAAUUUACUCUGUCAGAAGGUGUUAUGGUGCACUUUUUGCCUGUUGUAGUUUCCCAUGGAAGUAAACAGGAGACAUUACUUUCAGAGCAACCUGCUUAACAUUCUGAGCAGUUUGUAAGUAAUGAUUUGUGUAAUUGAAAAGAAAUAUAUUUAAAAAAAUGUUCUUUCACCAUUAAUUAUUCUUUCUCUCAUUUAAAAUUGAUCUGUUCUCUCACUAAUCCCAUAAUAUAUUUUGCUUUCCAAUGCCUACACACUUGUUUGUCUCAUCGAUCACUAAAAGAAAAGGGAAGCUCAGUGUAAAAAGAAGAUAUAGAAACUUCAAAGUCCAUAAUGACACUGCUGAUCACUUAAGAUAAAAUGAUUUCGAAUAAUGUACAUCCUAUCUGUUGACUAUCUGGAUUGUAUUUUAUAAUGCAUAAUUUCUGAAUGAAUAUUCUCAUC
Gallus gallus (chicken) is the source of this 1526-nucleotide long non-coding RNA. The record is from Ensembl. Lineage: Eukaryota; Metazoa; Chordata; Aves; Galliformes; Phasianidae.